This 253-nucleotide ribosomal RNA is filed under the name uncultured bacterium. Its description in RNAcentral is "partial 16S ribosomal RNA". It matches the Rfam family "Bacterial small subunit ribosomal RNA", at positions 524 to 776 of the family's 1533-position model. The record is from RNAcentral.
UACGUAGGGUGCAAGCGUUGUCCGGAUUUAUUGGGCGUAAAGAGCGUGUAGGCGGUUCGGUAAGUCUGCCGUGAAAACCUGGGGCUCAACCCUGGGCGUGCGGUGGAUACUGCCGGGCUAGAGGGUGGUAGAGGCGAGUGGAAUUCCCGGUGUAGCGGUGAAAUGCGCAGAUAUCGGGAGGAACACCAGUAGCGAAGGCGGCUCGCUGGGCCAUUCCUGACGCUGAGACGCGAAAGCUAGGGGAGCGAACAGG